This 1339-nucleotide unclassified non-coding RNA is filed under the name Dimocarpus longan. RNAcentral describes it as "external transcribed spacer". Lineage: Eukaryota; Viridiplantae; Streptophyta; Magnoliopsida; Sapindales; Sapindaceae. The record is from RNAcentral.
AGGUGCUUGGCUGCCCACCAGCAGCCAAGGCUUGGCCAGGGCUUCCCCCCCGUUCCCCCCGCACCACUAGCUUGGUGUGGGGGGAGCGUUGGCAACGGGCGCUACCAUUGGUCCGACCGGCGACGGUCGGUCCGGUGGUCCGUCCGGUGGCCGCCCGUCCGGGUGGCCCGGUGCGGAAAAAAUCGGGAAGUGGGAAAAAAUUGGAACGGGAUGGUGCCUUCGAUGUAGCCUAUUUUCGGUGUCCCAACGAUGCCAUUGAGCGGGAAUAACAUUGCAUUUAGAUUUGCCAAUGUUCGACUUACCGAAAACGUUAGCUAUGGCCUCGGUCGUGUGAGUCUAACGCCAAUAGGUGGGUUGGCUGCGGUGGUCUGGGCGUGGUGUGAAGCUCUCUCGGUGUGCAUUGCUGCUCCUCUCGGUGAACAUUCGAUGUGCGUUGGGGGGGAAAAGCAUUGGGCUUGGAUUUGCCAAUGUUCGACUUUCCGAAAACGUUAGCUAUGGCCUCGGUCGUGUGAGUCUAACGCCAAUAGGUGGGUUGGCUGCGGUGGUCCGGGCGUGGUGUGAAGCCCUCUCGGUGUGCAUUGUUGCUCCUUUCGGUGACUUGUUGAUGACCGUUGCAGGGGAAAAGCAUUGGGCUUGGAUUUGCCAAUGUUCGACUAACUGAAAGCGUUAGCUAUGGCCUCGGUCGUGUGAGUCUAAUGCCAGUAGUUGGUUGGGCUGCGGUUGUCUAGGCGCGGUGUGAAGCCCCUGUGGUGUCCAUCAGCGUUGGUUCGAUUUCUGUUGCCUUUCGCGUCUAGCGGUGCUGGUGUGGCCUUUCUCGAUGUUUCUGCAUGCUCAAUGAUGCCAGUCGUCAUUGGGUUGUGGUUCGUUUGGUUAGGUCAUCGCUAAGUGUACGCAACAGACGUAUGAGUGGUGUUUGAAUGGCAUGGGCUCGCAGGCUCCUUGCUCGUGCAACGAACUGUGAGCUAUCCAUUCUUUUCAUGAUUUCCCCAAGCACAAUCAUUGUCUUGUGGGUUAGACCGAUAUCCUGUGUUGCUUACCAACGGAAUGGAAUUCGAUCGGAUUCAUGUCUACAUCCUCCCGACGCCUUUUAGGUCGUUGGGUGGACGAUAAGCUUGCCUCGUGCUCCACACGUGCCUCUCUUUCGUUGUGUGGCCGUUGUGGCUCACGGGGUUAAUGCUCGUUCUCUCGGAUGCGGAUCAUAAUGUGUGGGCGAGGGACCUCCAUUCGUCCGAAGUAUGCAUUUGUCAAUAUGACACGAACGACGGCCGUUCUCGUCUUGGCUCUGGAGUCGCACGGCUCCGUGAGAUUUCAUGCGAGCAUCGGCGUCGCGAAGGAAUGC